GCUCAUACUUGGUGUUGUACUGAUUGAGGU
RNAcentral lists this non-coding RNA (30 nucleotides) under Rattus norvegicus (Norway rat). Lineage: Eukaryota; Metazoa; Chordata; Mammalia; Rodentia; Muridae. The record is from RNAcentral.